Molecule: long non-coding RNA, 461 nt
Organism: Sebastes umbrosus (honeycomb rockfish)
Lineage: Eukaryota; Metazoa; Chordata; Actinopteri; Perciformes; Sebastidae
Exons: 3
Source: RefSeq, a predicted model, not a curated record
GUUGCCUGUUAUGAUGCAUUUUAAUGAGAUCUGUAUUAUAGAAAAAAAAAAGGGAAAAUUAAAAUUACAACCAAUUAUGGCUGCCAUUUCUUAUUUUGAAUGAAUUAAACUAUGUACACAUCUGUCAACAUGCCUCAGCUUAACAUCCUACAUCUUUAUUUGCUCUUUAAACUGUGAGAAGAACAUUUCAUGCAUCUUGUAUUAAAAUACACAUCUUUGGAUGAAUGAAGAAUAAACUUCUCAGAACUCAUUUUGCACCUUGAUCAGCUUUUUUUAGAAAAGCAAACAACUUACAGCUUCAUGUCAUUUCUGUUUGAUGAGAUUUUCACAUAAAAGUAAAAACAUAAAAACAAAAGUUAAAUCAUAUCUUACUUUCCCGUUUUUAGAGGAAUGAAAAUGUCUCCAUAAUAUCUGAAAACCUAGAAACUGCUUCAUUCCUUCUUUUAAAAAAGUUCCUUUAA